AUCUCACUCAGUCAUUUAUAUUCACGAAUAAAAUAAUUAUAUAAUGCACAGGCUGCUUCGCAUAAAUUGAACAUUUAUAAUAACUCUUACUAUCGAAGAUGAUACAAAAUGACGAAGAGGAUAAAGGAAAUUGUCGAUGACUGGAAUAAACUUUGUGUCUGCUCUUAUCAAUAUCGUUAGACGCGUAUCUUCCAGCUACAUAUAUACACUUUAUCUUAUCCUUAAAAAUAGUGGAAUUAAUUCAAAUGUCCAAUUUAAGCGAGACAUCCUGCACGUAAAUACAUAUAGUAAUCAUAUACAGGAUAUUGCCAAACAAGAAGGGGAUAUUUAUACGAUAAAUUCGAGAAAGUAGGACUUCAUCGUAUAUUUAUAUACGAAUAUAUGAAAUAAAACAUUCAUAUCACUCUGUU
Molecule: long non-coding RNA, 410 nt
Organism: Bombus pyrosoma
Lineage: Eukaryota; Metazoa; Arthropoda; Insecta; Hymenoptera; Apidae
Exons: 2
Source: RefSeq, a predicted model, not a curated record